AACACAUGCAAGUCGAGGGGCAGCACGUUCUUAGCUUGCUAAGGCCGAUGGCGAUCGGCGCACGGGUGAGUAACACGUAUCCAACCUGCCGUCUACUCUUGGACAGCCUUCUGAAAGGAAGAUUAAUACAAGAUGGCAUCAUGAGUCCGCAUGUUCACAUGAUUAAAGGUAUUCCGGUAGACGAUGGGGAUGCGUUCCAUUAGAUAGUAGGCGGGGUAACGGCCCACCUAGUCUUCGAUGGAUAGGGGUUCUGAGAGGAAGGUCCCCCACAUUGGAACUGAGACACGGUCCAAACUCCUACGGGAGGCAGCAGUGAGGAAUAUUGGUCAAUGGGCGAGAGCCUGAACCAGCCAAGUAGCGUGAAGGAUGACUGCCCUAUGGGUUGUAAACUUCUUUUAUAAAGGAAUAAAGUCGGGUAUGGAUACCCGUUUGCAUGUACUUUAUGAAUAAGGAUCGGCUAACUCCGUGCCAGCAGCCGCGGUAAUACGGAGGAUCCGAGCGUUAUCCGGAUUUAUUGGGUUUAAAGGGAGCGUAGAUGGAUGUUUAAGUCAGUUGUGAAAGUUUGCGGCUCAACCGUAAAAUUGCAGUUGAUACUGGAUAUCUUGAGUGCAGUUGAGGCAGGCGGAAUUCGUGGUGUAGCGGUGAAAUGCUUAGAUAUCACGAAGAGCUCCGAUUGCGAAGGCAGCCUGCUAAGCUGCAACUGACAUUGAGGCUCGAAAGUGUGGGUAUCAAACAGGAUUAGAUACCCUGGUAGUCCACACGGUAAACGAUGAAUACCCGCUGUUUGCGAUAUACAGCAAGCGGCCAAGCGAAAGCGUUAAGUAUUCCACCUGGGGAGUACGCCGGCAACGGUGAAACUCAAAGGAAUUGACGGGGGCCCGCACAAGCGGAGGAACAUGUGGUUUAAUUCGAUGAUACGCGAGGAACCUUACCCGGGCUUAAAUUGCAGAUGAAUUACGGUGAAAGCCGUAAGCCGCAAGGCAUCUGUGAAGGUGCUGCAUGGUUGUCGUCAGCUCGUGCCGUGAGGUGUCGGCUUAAGUGCCAUAACGAGCGCAACCCUUGUUGUCAGUUACUAACAGGUUCCGCUGAGGACUCUGACAAGACUGCCAUCGUAAGAUGUGAGGAAGGUGGGGAUGACGUCAAAUCAGCACGGCCCUUACGUCCGGGGCUACACACGUGUUACAAUGGGGGGUACAGAGGGCCGCUACCACGCGAGUGGAUGCCAAUCCCCAAAACCUCUCUCAGUUCGGACUGGAGUCUGCAACCCGACUCCACGAAGCUGGAUCCGCUAGUAAUCGCGCAUCAGCCACGGCGCGGUGAAUACGUUCCCGGGCCUUGUACACACCGCCCGUCAAGCCAUGGGAGCCGGGGGUACCUGAAGUGCGUAACCGCGAGGAGCGCCCUAGGGUAAAACUGGUGACUGGGGCUAAGUAG
RNAcentral lists this ribosomal RNA (1434 nucleotides) under uncultured organism. Its description in RNAcentral is "SSU rRNA". It matches the Rfam family "Bacterial small subunit ribosomal RNA". The record is from RNAcentral.